GACGAACGCUGGCGGCGUGCUUAACACAUGCAAGUCGAGCGGUAAGGCCUUUCGGGUACGACGAGCGGCGAACGGGUGAGUAACACGUGGGUGACCUGCCUUUAGCUUCGGGAUAAGCCUGGGAAACCGGGUCUAAUACCGGAUAUGACCUCAUGUCGCAUGGUGUGGGGUGGAAAGUUCUUCGGCUAGAGAUGGGCCCGCGGCCUAUCAGCUUGUUGGUGGGGUGAUGGCCUACCAA
This 238-nucleotide ribosomal RNA is filed under the name uncultured bacterium. Its description in RNAcentral is "partial 16S ribosomal RNA". It matches the Rfam family "Bacterial small subunit ribosomal RNA", at positions 28 to 271 of the family's 1533-position model. The record is from RNAcentral.